GGUAUUUUAACCAAAAGCACAUGUUCAAGAAUGUUGGGGACCUCUUUUACAUUCAAAUGAACUCAAUCGUAAAGAAACGUGUCUAUAUUUUUGACGACGUUUCUGAGUGCGACUGAGAUGAAUCAUGAAUACAGCUGUGACAACACCUUUCAAAUGGGAAUUUCUGAUAGAGAUCGGUGAAUUAUACCAUAAGUUAACACAUGAGAAAUUGGUCAUGAACUUUAUUGUUUUGGAAAUGGUGAAUUUUAUAUGGACAUUCACAAGACUCAUGUUUGUUUCUAUCAACCUAAUCAACGCAAACAAAUUAUGUCGCUUGUGGGAUUUGUUAAAGGAACAAAUGAUUCAGGAUGGUAGAAAGAAUAGCAG
This 366-nucleotide long non-coding RNA is filed under the name Paramuricea clavata. Lineage: Eukaryota; Metazoa; Cnidaria; Anthozoa; Malacalcyonacea; Plexauridae. The record is from RNAcentral.